UACGUAGGAGGCGAGCGUUGUCCGGAGUUACUGGGCGUAAAGGGUGCGCAGGCGGCGGUUCGCGUGGCGAGAUGAAAUCUCCUGGCUUACCUGGGAGGAUGGUCGCCAGACGGGAUCGCUUGAGGGUCGGAGAGGGGCGUGGAAUUCCGGGUGGAGCGGUGAAAUGCGUAGAUAUCAUUUGGAACGCCAAUGGUGAAAACAGGUAGCUGGGAGUGUGCUGACGCUGAGACACGAAAGCCAGGGGAGCGAACGGG
Molecule: ribosomal RNA, 254 nt
Filed under: uncultured bacterium
Lineage: Bacteria
Description: partial 16S ribosomal RNA
Rfam family: Bacterial small subunit ribosomal RNA
Source: RNAcentral